RNAcentral lists this unclassified non-coding RNA (264 nucleotides) under Hevea brasiliensis (rubber tree). Lineage: Eukaryota; Viridiplantae; Streptophyta; Magnoliopsida; Malpighiales; Euphorbiaceae. The record is from RNAcentral.
GGGUCUAGUAGAGAGAGAGAAGGAGGGCAAUUUUGGCAUUUAAUUUUAAUUAGAAUUUAACUUUUAUUUUUUUUGUUUUGACUAACAGUAAAUUGACUUGAUUUUGGACAGAAAGAAUAAUUUGUUUACUUUUAAACAUUAAGGACUAAAUUAUUAGGUUUUCAAACAGCAUGGAUAAAUUUGAGUGUUUUGCUUAACCUCAAGGACGUUUUUCUAAAAUACCCAUAAAGAAUUAUCCUUCUCCCCCUGCUAAACAGAACAAGA